AUGAAACAUAUUAUAAUACUAGAAAGCAAUUAAGAGUAGUGGCAGAUGAAGUAUAUACAAAAUACAGUCAUCCAAAAUACAUGAGAAAGAUAAAAGCUCUACAUGUAGUUAUAGAGUCUUUCAAAAAGAAGAGAAGGAAAGAAGACUAAGUUAUAUACAAUAGGUAAUAACUAAGCUACACUACUCUGCAGCAUCAGUAGUGUAUGGGAUAUCUGGGCCAUCUAGUAUUUGCUCCAAAGGGGCCUCUGAAACCUCUGCUCACAUCCAAUUAGGAUGAUCAUUGCAAAAGAAAACAAACACAUACAAAACAGGCAUCAAACAAAGCAAGGGUAAGCUAGAUUUCAAAAGGAAACAAGUUAACUAAGAGAUUAUCAAACUAAAAGAGGCAUUCAAGAAUUACAAGUAUGGAAGAACAAUUUAAUUAAGUUAUGAGUUGUGGUUUUAUUAAGUGGUGUUAGACUUAGACUCAUCCGGACCCGAAAUGAACAUCGAGCUAUGGCGGGUUAUGCACUUGUGGUGGCCUCUACUGCUUUGCAAAGCCAAUUGCUAUGGGUUCCACCCUACCACCACAAGGUUAGUCCGUUAUCACUCACCUUGGCCCAUAUAAAAUGGAGACAACCAAGACUAGGACCCCCUACUACUCUCACUACAUGAACUAAUCUUCUCUAAGUGAGAUUGAAUAGUCAUUAGAGUAUUAAGGGCAACCCCCAAGACUGAGCUACCUAUAUUCAUUCCAGAAACUUAACUUAGAUCUCACCUAGAGAUGAUACUUAACUCUU
Molecule: long non-coding RNA, 779 nt
Filed under: Vigna radiata
Lineage: Eukaryota; Viridiplantae; Streptophyta; Magnoliopsida; Fabales; Fabaceae
Description: long non-coding RNA (VRAD_LNC004479)
Source: RNAcentral